GAGUUUGAUCCUGGCUCAGAGUGAACGCUGGCGGCAUGGUUAAGACAUGCAAGUCGAACGAAAAGCAAAUCUUCGGAUUUGUGGAAAGUGGCGAACGGGUGCGUAACACGUGAGCAACCUGCCCUAAAGUGCGGAACAGCCUGUCGAAAGAUGGAUUAAUGCCGCACGUGGCUCUUCUUCGCAUGAGGAAGUAGCUAAAGCUUGUAAUGGCGCUUUAGGAUGGGCUCGCGGCCUAUCAGCUUGUUGGUAAGGUAAUGGCUUACCAAGGCUAAGACGGGUAGCUGGUCUGAGAGGAUGAUCAGCCACACCGGGACUGAGACACGGCCCGGACACCUACGGGUGGCAGCAGUUUCGAAUCAUUCACAAUGGGCGAAAGCCUGAUGAUGCAAUGCCGCGUGGAGGAUGAAGGCCUUAGGGUCGUAAACUCCUGUCAUUGGGGAGCAACAAAUAGGUUCAUAGCCUAUCAUGAGUUAACCCAAAGAGGAAGAGGUGGCUAACUCCGUGCCAGCAGCCGCGGUAAUACGGAGACCUCGAGCGUUACUCGGAUUCACUGGGCGUAAAGGGUGAGUAGGUGGCCAAGUAUGUCAGGUGUGAAAUCCCGGGGCUUAACCCCGGAACUGCGCCUGAAACUACUUGGCUAGAGUCUCGGAGAGGAUAGUGGAAUUCCAAGUGUAGCGGUGAAAUGCGUAGAUAUUUGGAGGAACACCAGUGGCGAAGGCGACUAUCUGGACGAGUACUGACGCUCAAUCACGAAAGCGUGGGUAGCGAAAGGGAUUAGAUACCCCUGUAGUCCACGC
RNAcentral lists this ribosomal RNA (797 nucleotides) under uncultured bacterium. Its description in RNAcentral is "bacterial SSU rRNA". It matches the Rfam family "Bacterial small subunit ribosomal RNA", at positions 9 to 800 of the family's 1533-position model. The record is from RNAcentral.